Molecule: long non-coding RNA, 10465 nt
Filed under: Brassica rapa (field mustard)
Lineage: Eukaryota; Viridiplantae; Streptophyta; Magnoliopsida; Brassicales; Brassicaceae
Description: long non-coding RNA (BRAP_LNC003886)
Source: RNAcentral
AUCCAUUAUAUUCUAUGCUUCUGCUUUUGUAUGAGCUCUCUUUUAUUCCUUGGAACGGGUUGUGUAUACUUCUCUUCUUCGCUUAAAGAAACGAAUCAAGAUAGGUGUAGUUUCUGCACCGAUGAUACUCAAGGAGGCUACCAUAAGUGCGGUCCCAUACUCCAAUGAAGAGCGCCUGUGUGUCAGGGCUGAAUGAUAUUCCAGAUAUCUCUCCAAAGAAGUCGAUCUCCUGCUCUGUUUCAUACCCCUUUGAGACGUCAUAGACAUGCACAAAGUCUGCCGGUUCGGCCAUGGCCAUGUAUUUUCCAUCGGACGUGUAGCGGAUCGACCGGAUUGCUCCAAGGUUACCCUUCAAGACAGCAACGGAGUGAGAUAGGUUGCGGAUGUCCCAUACACGGCAGGUCUUGUAUUGGUUUCCAGUUGAGAAAGUGAUUCCGUCAGGAUGCCACGCUGAGGCAAAGGAAUAGUCAAAAUGUCCUGAUAGUGUUUCCAGCGUCUGUAGAUGAAGUUUUUUAAAGAUUUGGCAUUAUAAAAGUGGUGACCAACCAUUUGAGACUAACUUACACACUUGGGUUCAGGAUCUAGCUAAUAUGUACCUUUCCUGUGUUGGGGUCUACUAUAAGGCCCUCGGGAUUGUCGCCAACAAUAGCUAGUAAUUUACCAUUAGGACUCAAUGAUGUGUGCUGUUACCAACAAAUGGAAGACAGAAGAACAUAAUUAGCCUAACUGAAACUCCGAAUUAUGCCAAAAUAAAAGGAAAACUAUGAGAGAAGCAAGGACUUUACGUUCACUGGCCAAGGAAAGGAAAAAUGCUUAACAAGCUGGUAUCUCUCCAUGUCAAAAUCUCUAACUCCACAGUCAUUAUUCGAGGCAGUAAAAUGAAGAGCACCACUAUGAACAGAUGACAAAAACUAAGUUAGAAGCAGUGACUCUAACAAUUUAAAUGUAGACCCUUCAGCAGAAACUUGGGUUUGUUGUAGAUCUCAAUAGCAUUGGUAAUAGCAUUAUCUUCAUAAGUAGUACGAGAGCAAAAGCUGACGCCAGGUCUAUCAAGAUGCUGAAACCAAUGUGGAAAGUAGAAAGAUGUUUUUCCUACAAAUUUGCAAAAUCACAUUUUCCGGCCAAAGUCGUAAAAUCAUAUCCCCAAAAUCAUGAAAUCACGCUUCCCGCAUAAACCGUGAAAUAUUUUUUUCCCGGAAAACCAUAUAUCAUGUUUUCGCGUCAAAACCGUAAAAUUAUGUUUUUCCACCAAAAUCGUAAAAUCACAUUUUUCGCCAAAACUAUGUUAGAACCGUAAAAUUACGAUUUCUGCAAAAAUCGCAAAAUUAAGUUUUUCCGUCAAAACCGUAAAUCACAUUUUCCUCAAAACCACAAAUUACGUUUCCCACUUUCUUGGUAGAAUUAUUCAUGUCUACCACCACUAAAGAGAUAUUUUUAAAAAACAUUCUUCAUUAAGUGGCAAAAGACUUUUAUAUCUUUGUUCUAUAUAUAUAUAUGAUAAAUAAUUAUUUAAAUAAACUAAAAUAUAUUUUUAUAUAUAUCCCCUUAUAUUAAAUUUUUGAAGUUAUAAAUAUGGUCAACUUGAUAAUUUUAAUUAUUUAAGGCACUUUACAAACAAAUAAAAUGAUAAGGACUAAAAUAUAAUAACUUAAGAAAAUAAAUCAAUAUAUUUUAGUAUAUACUGACACGUGUCAGUUACGAGGCAUGUUUUAGCUAUUUAUUAUGAGUUUAGGUAUGAACUUCAAAAUUUCAUUUAGUUUACGAAUGUUUUAGCACGUUAAUAUACUCUAGAUACGUAUUUUCUCCGCUUUCAUAGUGUGAAUAUGAAUAAGCCGUUUUCCCCAGUAAGAAACAGACAACAAACGAAGUUAGAAGCAGUGACUCUUAACAAUCUAAUGCGGACAGCAAAAGAAAGAGGCAAAAAACCUGGGUUUGUUGUAGAUUUCAAUAGCAUUGGUAAUAGCAUUAUCAUCAUAAGUAGUACGAGAGAAAAAGCUGACCCCAGGUCUAUCAAGAUGCUGAAACCAAAGUGGAAAGUAGAAAUAGAUGAAGCUUUGUCAAUAAUAAUGCAUAUGGCUUCUCUUUUUUUUUUGCGCAACGCAUAUGGCUACUCAAUAAUCAAUAUAUCCAGACUCUUGACUUUGCAUAUAAGAUCUCCUUGAAUCCACCGGCAAUUAUUCGUCUUUUAUUGCAAGUGUGCUUAUAUGUGUAAACUCUUCCAGCAAACUUCCAUGGUGUUUCUAAGGGGCUGCUAGUUGGAGUUUGAUUUAUAUAGAUUUAGUUGAUUAGAAGAGUAUAUAGACUUGUUGAAUUCGGAAUGAGUUGGAGAAAAUUUUGUAACAAUCUAUAAAAAUAAAUAACUAUAAUAUUUUUUAGAAUCCAAAGGAUAUAUGUAGUAUUUUUUAUGAGUUAAAUAAUUAAGAAUACAAUUCUCAAUAACAGUAACUUUAAUAAAUUUACAGAAAUAUUAAAAUCCAAACUUUCGAAUAACAAAUGAUUUUUAGAUUUUAGUGAGAAUAUGAAAAUCUAUAAAUCAAUAACACUACUAUUUAAAUUCUAAAAAUUAAUUCCACUAACACCUUCUAAAUGCACCAAAAAAUCAAAUAAGUAUAUUAUUUUAAUGGGCCGUGUGGUUAGACAAACUCAUUAACUAAUCAAUGGGCUUUAUUAACAUUAUCUCACUAAUCUAGUCAAUGUAUAUAGAUAUGUAUCUAGCCAAAAAAAGGAAGCAAUCUUAAUUUGUAUCUUUUUGGUCUUGUUAAGACUAAAACAGUUAUUAACACAUCAGCAAUACUUAUCUAAUUAAUUAAUUACAUUUAUUUUUUAAAUAUCAUUAAAGCUUUGAAUGUUUACAACCACACCAUAGUUAAUAAUUACGAAAAUCUCUACAUAUAUUUGUGUAUAUCAGAAACGCAAACGUAGUUGUUACGCAAGCUAACAUUCGGACCUUAUGUUUUCUCCUUAGGUGUUAAGGAACUGAUUUAUUAUAAAGAUAAUAAGGUCCUCACAAACUCUCCAUUCACCAAGACAACAAAAAAAAAAGAUGUCAACAGUUUCACCCUCCUCGCAACUGGUUCAGGUGGUUCCAGACAACCACAACAACACUGACGACUCCUCUGCGGAGGUCAACUACGAAGAUCUUGUCCGUAAGUCAUGUCUAUUUGACCUUUUAUUUGACAUUCAGGUUCAUUAGUUUCCUCACAGGUUUAAAACAUUUUACAACACUCAUGUUCUUGUUUUCUCUUUACUUUGUAACAUGCUGAGACACCAUACCUCUUAUGUUUUUCAGAGGAAGCAAUGGAGAGCUUGUCCCUCGAGGAAGGUAUUAAAAAAAGGUUUCUCUAACUCUGUGGCUUUGUAUCACUUUGCGACUUAUUGAAUUUCCACCUUAUGGAACUUGCAGGCACUGUUGAACCGCAGAUUGGGGAUGUGGGAGACGGAGUCAUUGAUGGGACGACGUCCGAAGGUGGAUACCUGGUGACGAUGAAAUUCGGUUCUCAAGUGCUGAAAGGAGUGCUUUACCAUCAUGCUAAAAGGCCCCAACAAGCCAUGGGAACACCACCUUCAGGCAUGCCACCAGCAUCGCAGCGCCGAGCUAAGAAGAAAGCCAGAGAGACUACUCAAGUUGAUUCUAAGAAACCCAAAUUCCGCAGGAGUGGCUACAAACCUAAGAAACAGGUCACUUACUUAUAGUUAUCAUCAAAUCAAAUCCUUUAACCAAGUGUUUGCUUAUAAUCUGAUACCAUUUUCUUACAGGUUUAUCAAGACAAAGGAGUUACGGAUGGGGAGAGGUACAGAACUGAGAUCAUGCUGGAGUACGAGUCUGCACAUGAGUCUGAUGGAGCGUCUGCUUCUGCAGCCGCCACCAUGGCUCAGUAGUCUUUUCUUCUUCUGUUAUGUUGUUGUCUUCUUCUUUCUUUAUUACAUUUCUCUUUCUUCUUUCUUUCUCUGGACAAGUUCUCUUUCUUUUAUAAUGAAUAUUUAUAAUGUCUUUGAUCAGUUUGCAGAACAUGUCAUGUUUAUGGUUGUAGGGUUAGUAAAAGAGGUUACUAACUGCGCAUUUAUGUCUUUCUUGCUAUUUUGAUUCAUGAUAUCCCGUUUGUUUGUUUUUUUUGUUUCUGUUUUCAACUUGGAUAUAUCUUAUGUUGUUGCAGAAAUUUGAAUGAACUAUUAUUACUCUUUUCGUUCCAAAUUAAUUCAUGUUUUAGAAAAAAAGUAUUUUAAGAAGAUAUAUUUUUAUUAGAUAAUAAUGUAAAAUUUUAAAUUUUGAAAAGAAAUCGUGUUUACUGUACUUCGAUGGAUAAAAAUUAUAGAAAAUAUAGUUAAACACAAAAUAAUGCAUUUAUAAUUAAGAUCAAACAUAUUUUUAAUAUGUGUGGAAAAAUUUAAAACAUACAUUUUUUGAAAUGGGGUAGGGAACAUCAUUUAUUUAACACAUAUGUUUCUUGAAUCCCAUUUUUGUUGUUAGUUUUCAAGAGUUUCAACAUGUUCUCCCAACAUAUAAAAAGCUUGUUUUGAUAAUCAAUUUGUGAAAUAACCAAAAAUAAAGAGAGAAUGGGUGAUUUUGGUUAGUUAGUGGAUUUUGUUUUUUUUUGUAUAUUGGACCUAAUUUCCCAUUAAUAAUGCAAUGAAUGUUUUUAAGCCAACAUGUCAUAUUUGGCAAGAAUGCGUUCAAGGCAACACAAAUUUUUGUGAGAAACUUCAUUGAUGUUUUCAUAAUUGAAACAACUAACCAACACUACUUACUGUACACAUCUUGAACCUUCAGAAUUCACAAGGAAACAACAUGCAAGCCGCCGGCAAAGGAAACAAAAAGACAGUAACUACAAUAGCAUUUGCAUAACACAUCAUUUACACCUUUUAAGACAUCCAUUAUAUUCUAUGCUUCUGCUUUUGUAUGAGCUCUCUUUUAUUCCUUGGAACGGGUUGUGUAUACUUCUCUUCUUCGCUUAAAGAAACGAAUCAAGAUAGGUGUAGUUUCUGCGCCGAUGAUACUCAAGGAGGCUACCAUAAGUGCGGUCCCAUACUCCAAUGAAGAGCGCCUCUGUGUCAGGGCUGAAUGAUAUUCCAGAUAUCUCUCCAAAGAAGUCGAUCUCCUGCUCUGUUUCAUACCCCUUUGAGACGUCAUAGACGUGCACAAAGUCUGCCGGUUCGGCCAUGGCCAUGUAUUUUCCGUCGGACGUGUAGCGGAUCGACCGGAUUGCUCCAAGGUUACCCUUCAGGACAGCAACAGAGUGAGAUAGGUUGCGGAUGUCCCAUACACGGCAGGUCUUGUCUUGGUUUCCAGUUGAGAAAGUGAUUCCGUCAGGAUGCCACGCUGAGGCAAAGGAGUAGUCAAAAUGUCCUGAUAGUGUUUCCAGCGUCUGUAGAUGAAGUUUUAAAGAUUUGGCAUUAUAAAAGUGGUGACCAACCAUUUGAGACUAACUUACACACUUGAGUUCAGGAUCGAAAAUAUUUGUACCUUUCCUGUGUUGGGGUCUACUAUAAGGCCCUCGGGAUUGCCGCCAACAAUAGCUAGUAAUUUACCAUUAGGACUCAAUGAUGUGUGCUGUUACCAACAAAUGGAGGACAGAAGAACAUCAUUAGCCAAACUGAAACUCCGAAUUAUGCCAAAAUAAAAGGAAAACUAUGAGAGAAGCAAGGACUUUACGUUCACUGGCCAAGGAAAGGAAAAAUGCUUAACAAGCUGGUAUCUCUCCAUGUCAAAAUCUCUAACUCCACAGUCAUUAUUCGAGGCAGUAAAAUGAAGGGCACCACUAUGAACAGAUGACAAAAACUAAGUUAGAAGCAGUGACUCUAACAAUUUAAAUGUAAACCCUUCAGCAGAAACCUGGGUUUGUUGUAGAUCUCAAUAGCAUUGGUAAUAGCAUUAUCAUCAUAAGAAGUACAAGAGCAAAAGCUGACACCAGGUCUAUCAAGAUGCUGAAACCAAUGUGGAAAGUAGAAAGAUGUUUUUCCUACAAAUUUGCAAAACCACAUUUUCAGGCCAAAGUAGUAAAAUCAUAUCCCCCAAAAUCAUGAAAUUACGCUUCCCGCAAAAACCGUGAAAUAUUUUUUUCCCGGAAAACCAUAUAUCAUGUUUUCGCGUCAAAACCGUAAAAUUAUGUUUUUCCACCAAAAUCGUAAAAUCACAUUUUUCGCCAAAACUAUGUUAGAACCGUAAAAUCAUGAUUUUUGCAAAAAAUCGCAAAAUUAAGUUUUUCCGUCAAAACCGUAAAUCACAUUUUCCUCAAAACCACAAAUUACGUUUUCCCACUUUCUUGGUAUAAGAAUUAUUCAUGUCUACCACCACUAAAGAGAUAUUUAAAAAAAAACAUUAUUCAUUAAGUGGCAAAAGACUCUUAUAUCUUUGUUCUAUAUAUAUAUGAUAAAUAAUUAUUUAAAUAAACUAAAAAAUAUUUUUUUUAUAUCCCCUUAUAUUAAAUUUUUGAAGUUAUAAAUAUGGUCAACUUGAUAAUUUUAAUUAUUUAAGGCACUUUACAAACAAAUAAAAUGAUAAGGACUAAAAUAUAAUAACUUAAGAAAAUAAGUCAAUAUAUUUUAGUAUAGACUGACACGUGUCAGUUACGAGGCAUGUUUUAGCUAUUUAUUACUCCCUCCGGUUUUUAAUAUAAGUCGUUUUAAAGAAAUUUUUUUGUUCCAAAUUAUAUGUCGUUUUCGAUUUUCUAUGUAAAAUUUAUUAAUAAUUAAUGAUGUCUGACCAAUGAUAAUAUAUUUUCUAUUUUUCUAUUGGUUGAAUUGUAGUUAGGUAAAUAAUUAAUGAUGUUUUUGUUUAGAAAAUAUAAGAAAUUAAUGAUUUUCUUAAUCUAUGUGCAUAGCUGUAAGACGACUUAUAUUAAAAAACGGAGGGAGUAUAAGUUUAGGUAUGAACUUCAAAAUUUUAUUUAGUUUACGAAUGUUUUAGCACGUUAAUAUACUCUAGAUAUAUAUUUUUUCCGCUUUCAUAGUGUGAAUAUGAAUAAACCGUUUUCCCCAGUAAGAAACAGACAACAAACGAAGUUAGAAGCAGUGACUUUUAACAAUCUAAUGCGGACAGCAAAAGAAAGAGGCAAAAAACCUGGGUUUGUUGUAGAUUUCAAUAGCAUUGGUAAUAGCAUUAUCAUCAUAAGUAGUACGAGAGAAAAAGCUGACCCCAGGUCUAUCAAGAUGCUGAAACCAAAGUGGAAAGUAGAAAUAGAUGAAGCUUUGUCAAUAAUAAUGCAUAUGGCUACUCAAUAAUCAAUAUAUCCAGACUCUUGACAUUGCAUAUAAGAUCUCCUUGAAAUCCACCGGCAAUUAUUCGUCUUUUAUUGCAAGUGUGCUUAUAUGUGUAAACUCUUCCAGCAAACUUCCAUGGUGUUUCUAAGGGGCUGCUAGUUGGAGUUUGAUUUAUAUAGAUUUUGUUGAUUAGAAGAGUAUAUAUACUUGUUGAAUUUGGAAUGAGUUGGAGAAAAUUUUGUAACAAUCUAUAAAAAUAAAUAACUCAAAUAUUUUUUAGAAUCCAAAGGAUAUAUGUAGUACUUUUUAUGAGUUAAAUAAUUAAGAAUACAAUUCUCAAUAACAGUAACUUUAAUAAAUUUACAGAAAUAUUAAAAUCCAAACUUUCGAAUAACAAAUGAUUUUUAGAUUUUAGUGAGAAUAUGAAAAUCUAUAAAUCAAUAACACUACUAUUUAAAUUCUAAAAAUUAAUUCCACUAACACCUUCUAAAUGCACCAAAAAAUCAAAUAAGUAUAUUAUUUUAAUGGGCCGUGUGGUUAGACAAACUCAUUAACUAAUCAAUGGGCUUUAUUAACAUUAUCUCACCAAUCUAGUCAAUGUAUAUAGAUAUGUAUCUAGCCAAAAAAGGGAAGCAAUCUUAAAUUGUAUCUUUUUGGUCUUGUUAAGACUAAAACAGUCAUUAACACAUCAGCAAUACUUAUCUAAUUAAUUAAUUACAUUUAUUUUUUAAAUAUCAUUAAAGCUUUGAAUGUUUACAACCACACCAUAGUUAAUAAUUACGAAAAUCUCUACAUAUAUUUGUGUAUAUCAGAAACGCAAAUGUAGUUGUUACACAAGCUAACAUUCAGACCUUAUGUUUUCUCCUUAGGUGUUAAGGAACUGAUUUAUUAUAAAGAUAAUAAGGUCCUCACAAACUCUCCAUUCACCAACACAGCAAAAAAAAAUGUCAACAGUUUCACCCUCCUCGCAACUGGUUCAGGUGGUUCCAGACAACCACAACAACACUGACGACUCCUCUGCGGAGGUCAACUACGAAGAUCUUGUCCGUAAGUCAUGUCUAUUUGACCUUUUAUUUGACAUUAAGGUUCAUUAGUUUCCUCACAGGUUUAAAACAUUUUACAACACUCAUGUUCUUGUUUUCUCUUUACUUUGUAACAUGCUGAGACACCAUACCUCUUAUGUUUUUCAGAGGAAGCAAUGGAGAGCUUGUCCCUCGAGGAAGGUAUUAAAAAAAGGUUUCUCUAACUCUGUGGCUUUGUAUCACUUUGCGACUUAUUGAAUUUCCACCUUAUGGAACUUGCAGGCACUGUUGAACCGCAGAUUGGGGAUGUGGGAGACGGAGUCAUUGAUGGGACGACGUCCGAAGGUGGAUACCUGGUGACGAUGAAAUUCGGUUCUCAAGUGCUGAAAGGAGUGCUUUACCAUCAUGCUAAAAGGCCCCAACAAGCCAUGGGAACACCACCUUCAGGCAUGCCACCAGCAUCACAGCGCCGAGCUAAGAAGAAAGCCAGAGAGACUACUCAAGUUGAUUCUAAGAAACCCAAAUUCCGCAGGAGUGGCUACAAACCUAAGAAACAGGUCACUUACUUAUAGUUAUCAUCAAAUCAAAUCCUUUAACCAAGUGUUUGCUUAUAAUCUGAUACCAUUUUCUUACAGGUUUAUCAAGACAAAGGAGUUACGGAUGGGGAGAGGUACAGAACUGAGAUCAUGCUGGAGUACGAGUCUGCACAUGAGUCUGAUGGAGCAUCUGCUUCUGCAGCCGCCACCAUGGCUCAGUAGUCUUUUCUUUCUUCUGUUAUGUUGUUGUCUUCUUCUUUCUUUAUUACAUUUCUCUUUCUUCUUUCUUUCUCUGGACAAGUUCUCUUUCUUUUAUAAUGAAUAUUUAUAAUGUCAUUGAUCAGUUUGCAGAACAUGUCAUGUUUAUGGUUGUAGGGUUAGUAAAAGAGGUUACUAACUGCGCAUUUAUGUCUUUCUUGCUAUUUUGAUUCAUGAUAUCCCGUUUGUUUGUUUUUUUUGUUUCUGUUUUCAACUUGGAUAUAUCUUAUGUUGUUGCAGAAAUUUGAAUGAACUAUUAUUACUCUUUCCGUUCCAAAUUAAUUCAUGUUUAAAAAAAAAGUAUUUUAAGAAGAUAUAUUUUUAUUAGAUAAUAAUGUAAAAUUUUAAAUUUUGAAAAGAAAUCAUGUUUACUGUACUUCGAUAGAUAAAAAUUAUAGAAAAUAUAGUUAAACACAAAAUAAUGCAUUUAUAAUUAAGAUCAAACAUAUUUUUAAUAUGUGUGGAAAAAUUUAAAACAUACAUUUUUUGAAAUGGGGUAGGGAACAUCAUUUAUUUAACACAUAUGUUUCUUGAAUCCCAUUUUUGUUGUUAGUUUUCAAGAGUUUCAACAUGUUCUCCCAACAUAUAAAAAGCUUGUUUGAUAAUCAAUUUGUGAAAUAACCAAAAAUAAAGAGAGGAUGGGUGAUUUUGGUUAGUUAGUGAAUUUUUGUUUUUUUUUUUGUAUAUUAGACCUAAUUUCCCAUUAAUAAUGCAAUGAAUGUUUUUAAGCCAACAUGUCAUAUUUGGCAAGAAUGCGUUCAAGGCAACACAAAUUUUUGUGAGAAACUUCAUUGAUGUUUUCAUAAUUGAAACAACUAACCAACACUACUUACUGUACACAUCUUGAACCUUCAGAAUUCACAAGGAAACAACAUGCAAGCCGCCGGCAAAGGAAACAAAAAGACAGUAACUACAAUAGCAUUUGCAUAACACAUCAUUUACACAUUUUAAGACAUCCAUUAUAUUCUAUGCUUCUGCUUUUGUAUGAGCUCUCUUUUAUUCCUUGGAACGGGUUGUGUAUACUUCUCUUCUUCGCUUAAAGAAACGAAUCAAGAUAGGUGUAGUUUCUGCGCCGAUGAUACUCAAGGAGGCUACCAUAAGUGCGGUCCCAUACCCCAAUGAAGAGCGCCUCUGUGUCAGGGCUGAAUGAUAUUCCAGAUAUCUCUCCAAAGAAGUCGAUCUCCUGCUCUGUUUCAUACCCCUUUGAGACGUCAUAGACGUGCACAAAGUCUGCCGGUUCGGCCAUGGCCAUGUAUUUUCCGUCGGACGUGUAGCGGAUCGACCGGAUUGCUCCAAGGUUACCCUUCAAGACAGCAACGGAGUGAGAUAGGUUGCGGAUGUCCCAUACACGGCAGGUCUUGUCUUGGUUUCCAGUUGAGAAAGUGAUUCCGUCAGGAUGCCACGCUGAGGCAAAGGAAUAGUCAAAAUGUCCUGAUAGUGUUUCCAGCGUCU